AUAAUUAAUAUAUUGUUGCAGUAAAAUAUUUUUACUUUAAUUAACAGGGUCGUUUGCAUCCAAAGUUCGAGUACUUUAAUGUAUUGUCUGUAAUAAGUUUAUGAAACUUGAAAAAUGAAAAUGAAUCCAAAAAGUAACACAAUCGAUUAAUUUUCAAAAAUAGCUCUGUUGGUAUGUGGAAAAUGAUGAAUAUUUCAGAAAAAGUAAUGCUGCUUUAGUAACUUAAAAAGCUUCCAGUUCCCACUGAUUAUUAAGUUUUGAGUGUAGAAACGUAUUUUUAUGUUUUAGAAUUAAUACAUCCUGUGAAGUGGUAACACACUUUGCAUUUUUCUUGGGCUAUAUGUUUAAGAAAUCUAAAAGGUUUUGUAAAUUUUUUUUAAAUUUCUUUUAACUUGAUAAAAGUUCAUAACAUUAAUUACAUUCUACAGUUGGAUUCUACAGUUGGAAAAUUGGUAUCUUUAGAGAUGAUACAUACUUACCUUUUCUUUGAUAAAUGACUUUCCACAAACAUUUUUACUCUAAAUAAAUGGACACAUCUGAGGGUUGUAUUUUCUCCUAAUCCAGGGUUUACUUGCAAAGCAAUUACUAUCUUCUGCACUGCCAUUGCAGUUCACCUAUAUAAAUACUUACAAAAGAAAAAUAGUGACGUCCUGCAUGCAGUUGUGAAGAAUCGAAAAGUAAAAAAGAAGGAAAGAACUGAUUUAUAACUGGAUCAUCAUUGUCAGGAUGGUGGAAUAUCUGAGGAUCAGAGUGUAAAACCAGGAGUUUUUCCUUUAAAGAUUCUACAAGAUCUGUUGGUGUGCCCUACAUUCAGAAAAGGAAUAUCACACAUGAUAUUUACCAAAGUAGCCACGUGUAUCUGUGGUGAUCUGUAUUUUCAAAAUAAAGUGCAUUCUUGUAAA
This is a non-coding RNA of Vicugna pacos (alpaca), 902 nucleotides long. The record is from RefSeq and is a predicted model, not a curated record. NCBI's taxonomy places the organism in Eukaryota, Metazoa, Chordata, Mammalia, Artiodactyla, Camelidae.